GAGAUUUUCAAAUGUUUCAAGUAUUAUUCCCACUGCCAUUUGUACGUUAUUGAAAGUUUAUCUUUAAUUUUAGUGUUAAUAGUUGUUUACCCAUUUAUUCUUUCCAUUUAAUCGUAUUUUACUGUUUCGCUGAAGUGAAGCUUAAAUGAAAGACAAAAGCAUAGUGUUCUCAGAUAUGAUUCACCCAGUAUAUUUCCUCUGCACCUGGCUCUCUAUGAGCCGUUUCACUCCCAGGAAGGGGAGAGCAGGACGUUCUUAUCUAUACACUCCCAAAUACAAAGAGGGGCCCAUUCUUCAGAAUCACACACACACACACACUCUGAGAUCAUAAACUUCACACACACACACACACAUACUCUGAAACGCUAUAAAUAAAGAACUGCCACAAAUGCUGGUUGUGAGCCUGAGACAGCAGCGCUCACCCAGCGUGCGCACGUUGUUACCAUCUAAACUGUCUUGAGUGUCUUUAUUUCGCCUGAAGAAUGUCUUGUUUAAAUAUUUACUCCUUACAUUUAUUUGGUCCUUCGAGCCGGAUGAGGACAUUGAAUUUUAACUAAUUUUGUGCUCCAACAGAGUGACCUCGUCGUCUCCUGGAAUCGUGAACCCGCGCUGAAAGUCUGUCCGGACAGCCUGUUUCUAGUGAAACAGUAAAGACCAACUACGUGAAUUCGCCGUUGGCCAGCGUUUUUAGCAAGAGGUCCACGAUCCCAGGGAGCGAGGAGGAUUCUCUCUGACCGGCAUUUUCGUCCGAACCAGCUCAUCAUCAUCAUCACCACACAGUCAUUGUGAGUCUCCUUCAUGGUGAAGAGGAUUCCCAUGGGCCUGUUGUGGAUGUUUGCUUCUUGGUGUGAUCAGCCAUUGUUAGAGAUCAACAAACAUCAACAUCAUCCUGCACUAACAGUAGUAAAGGCUGCAGCCAUUGAACUGGUGGACAGUUCUAAGUAUUUGGUGGUUGUUCUUGAUUAGUUUCUGUCCUUUGAGUCACACUUUGAUGCUACAGUGAAAAAGGUCCAACAGUGACUGUACUUUUUAAAAGAGGUUUUAAUGUUUCAUCUGAAAUGAUCCUUUUAAAUAAAAUUUCUAUUGAAUCUG
Molecule: long non-coding RNA, 1092 nt
Organism: Oreochromis aureus
Lineage: Eukaryota; Metazoa; Chordata; Actinopteri; Cichliformes; Cichlidae
Exons: 2
Source: RefSeq, a predicted model, not a curated record